Hypanus sabinus (Atlantic stingray) is the source of this 12702-nucleotide long non-coding RNA. RefSeq lists it as uncharacterized. The transcript is spliced from 3 exons. The record is from RefSeq and is a predicted model, not a curated record. Lineage: Eukaryota; Metazoa; Chordata; Chondrichthyes; Myliobatiformes; Dasyatidae.
AAUAUUUGGCUAACAAAGAGUUCAUGAGAUGGUAACAGGUUUCUAAUAGCUUGCAUCUUCAAAACAGUCUCAUCUUUACUUUUUAACAGGAUACUGAAAACUGAAGGACUUAGGGCCACAGGUGAAGUUAAAACUGGGCAAAUAUCAGCACCAUCUUAGGAAAAAUGAAUAGACUUAGCACAGUUCAAGAUCUUUUUUUCAUAUUCUUUCCAGUUUGAGGUUUGACAUAUAACUCCAAGACAGUAAAGAUUUUCUUGCAAGUGACUGGAGGAGUCUCGCAACAGCAAUGGUGACACAAGAGAAACUGCAGAUGCUGGAACUCCGGAGUAACACAAAUAAAAUCCAGGAGGAACUCAGCAGGCCAGGCGGCAGCUCUGGAGGGAAAUGAGCAGUUUAUUUUUCAGGGCAAGAGAGGUCUCAGGCUGAGCAACACACUGGUCACAGUUCUCCAAUCUGAAAAUCAGUGCUUUACCAUCACCCUCUGUCUCCUAACACCCAAUUUUAUAUCCAAUUGGCUAGUUUGCCUUUGGAUCUCAUAUAAUCAAGCCUUCCUGACCAGCCUACCAUGUGGUAUUUGAUAACGGCCUUGCUGUCAUUCAUGUGGACAGCAUCUACUAUUCUGUCUUUUUACAUCUUCUUGGUUGCCAUUUCAAAAAUCUCAAUCAAAUUUGUGAAACAUGAUUUCCUGUGCCCAGAGUCAUGCUGAUGAUCUCUAAUUAUCCCUUGCCUCUGUAGAUGCAUGUAACUCCUUUCUCUCAGAAACUUUUCCAAUAGUUUGCCCACCAGUGAAGUUAGGCCCACUAGUCUAUAGUUUCAAGGCUUUUCCAUGAAGUGUUUCUUCAAUAAAGACACAACUUAGGCCACUCUGCAUUCUUUUGGCUAUCUUUCUGUGGUUAUCGAUGAUACAAAUAUCUCUGCUAGGGACCCCACAAUUUCCUUCUUAGCUUCCUACAAUAUCCAAGCAGAUCCUGGCUCUUUAUAUUGCUUUAUGCAUUUGAAGACCUCCACAACAUUCUCUUCUGCAAUGUGGAUGCUCUUCAAGAUAUCACCAUUAACUGUGGAGAUACAGAUGUCUGAGAUGGAAAAUUCUAGGCUUUAGACUCUGAAUACUUGAAAACACAACAACCAAUGGUUUGAGGAAAGCAUGCAAAUGGCAGAAUUAGAAGUUUUCUAAAAGGGCAUGUAGAGAUAGAAGAGUCAUCAAAGUUUAAGGGCAAAGGAAUGGAGAAACUUAAAAUAAGAAAAAUUCCAACAGCUCGGCCUUUAUAGAAGGAUACAGUUCAAGGCCUAGAAGAUUAACAUUGUGGUCCACAGGGUGUGUUGCUCUGCUGUGUGCUGCUAUGACAACAAUAAAAGUGGCUUUGUAUUCUUUAAGUACAAUGCUUGAGAACUGAUGCCAGAUUAAUUUCUGUAAGAUUUGCUGAUGUGUUGUUAUUUUUGUUAUUAGUAUUUUUAGAAUUGUUAAAUCUGACAACACUCUGUCAUAUAGACUAAUCAUAAGAAUACACUUCAUGUUUUUUCUACCUCAGCUUUAGGUACUGAAGAUAUAAAUAUUAUUUAUUCCAUCCUGUGCUUCUUUUACUGAAUAGAUAUUUGUGUAACAAGAUAAUAACUAAUGCAUGAAAGAGAGACAUUGACCCAAAGAGCUGCAGGAAAGAAAUAUAUAAGCAUUUAAUAUAGCGAUCUAAAAAUCACUUAAAAGGCUAGUUCAUAAAUGCACUUGUUACUAAAUACUGGAAUUUUCUGAGUUUUUGUAAAAUGUGUAAAUGAGUUAUAUGAUGAUGUUUUUUGAGACAUAAAAGAUGUGAGUUUAAUGGAUUUUACAUUGUAUUGCAUGAUACACAUAAAUGACACUUCUUUCGUAAUUACAUUCAAAUCCUGAUAAUGUAACCUUUUAAGUAUUUAUUUAUUGAAAUAGUGCAUGGAAUAGGCCCUUCUGGUCCUUCGAAGCUGCACUGCCCAGCAAUUCCCCAAUUUAAUCCUAACCUAAUCAUGAGCCCAUUACAAUGCCCAAUUAACCUACCAACCGGUAUGAAUUUGGACAGUGGGAAGAAACUGGAUCAGCUGAAGGAAACCCAUGCAUUGACGGGGAGAACAUACCAACUCCUUACAGGCAGCGGUGGGUAGUAUAAUUAAUUUUACGGUGAACUACCAGAAUAUAACUUCCUUUAUUAAUUGUAAACCAGUGACACAAGGGGAAACAUUUAAAAGUCUGUUUUAAAUUACAGGUGCGCAUUAUGGAUAUCAGUAAGAUCUUAAAUUUUCCUCUGAUUGAAGGCAGUUUAAAGCUUUGACAAAUGCAACAUCACUGUAAUCUCAAAUUUGCAAUAUUUGAUUUAUUUCAAGAAUGCUACAAUGUACUUCUCUAUAAUAUACAGUUACCUAACUCCAGUUUGAAAUAUAAAUAUGGAAAAAUUAACUGCACAGGUUUCUUAGUUAGUUUGUGGUGAUAACCUUGACCCCUGAUCCUGAUAUUAUGCUGUUCGAUAUCACUUGACAAAAUGUAAUGGUUUGAAUGCAUUAGGCUGUAAGAAAAACUGAACAAAAUGAGCAAAAGGAAAUGACAGUUUCAAACCAACGUAAGUUAUAAUAUGUGUAUUUUUUUUGUUCAAAGAUUUCAAGCACUUCCAAAUCUGCAUUGAUUUCUCAAUCAGAAGAAAGAGUGUAUUUAAAUUUUCUGCUUGGUUUCCAGUGAUAUUUCACAGUGACAAUCAUUAAAAGGUGUUGCUGAUAACAGAUCAUACAGUGCUCAAGUGGAGAGAUCCAUGCAAUGUGGUGCUAAGUGGUGCUUUUACUCACCUUUAUCACUGCUAGCCAUAUUAAAAAUUGAAUUAGAUACAAGUAAUAGUUCAGUCUGCAUGCAAGGGAACCAUUAUCACCCAUUCAUAUACUAUCAGCACAAUAAUUUUAUCUGGUGGUGCUUUUUCAGUUAGAAGCACAACAAACCUCAUUAGUUAUUUCAGGAUGAAUGUUCAGUGUGAAUAUGCAUGUACAAAUAUUGGGCCAGAAAGUCUAUUGCACAACGUAAAGCUCACAUGCACUCUCCUAUAGAAUUUCUUCAGAAUACAGAUCACAUUUUUCUUCUGGGGUGCUGUGUAUUUGAAACGCUAUUGCAUUGAGGACGUAGCAUUCAGUGGUGUGGAAUCUGGAUGUUAAUUCUAUAAGCUUCACUGUGAGCUUGGUUAAUUUGGAGAGCACAUAACUGACACCUCUCAUGGGAAGUCCUAAACAAAAUGAACUCAAAAGCAGUCCUAGCAGUCCAGCUCUGGAAAUCAGUUUCAGGUAGGUGCAAUUAAGUACUAAUGUUACUUCUUGUGGUUAUUCUCCACACCUAACUGUGACCAUGAAUCACCCCCAGCCCCACCCACCAUUCAGAGAUUGCCCGUACAUUCCCAGCAGUCGAUACCUAGCCAUUGGGAUUCAAUGGCCGCUGAUUCAACGUCUACUGAUCAAGGCUGUAACCCUUGAAUUCCAGCUGGACAUCACUCUCAUUUCUCAGCCAGCAACUUAUGAACUAAACCAGCCUAGUUUACUAUUACCACUCAGCAGUGGUAGAAUAAACAGAGGAUAGAUGAUGCGCUGCAUCAAAAGUGCAAUUCCUCUUCAGCACCUGAGUUUCAGGUACAAUACUAUUUUUCAUUGGUGGACUCCUACAGCACUCCAAACUUUGAAGAACUUUGAGCUCAAACACAUGUAUAACACUCUUAAAUUUUAGAUUGGUUGAAAAUAUAUAGGAACUGGAUAUCUGUGGAGUUGCUUCCCAAUUAUUUUAAUACAUAUUUAUUUUGUCAUUUUUUGAUGUGUAAGGCAAGAACAAGUCACUUCAGUGAAGAUUUUCAGGUCGAGUCCAGAGGGAGCUUUUUAGACUUUGCAUUGUUCAAGUUUAACUUCAGAGACUUCAACAUGAAUUCUAGACUGAGAAUCCAGCAAAGACCUGCAGGGCUGCUGAAGUAUCUGAGUUGAUGUCUUUCAGAAGGGAUGUUGAACCAUCUAAUGAGAUCUGGUGAUAUUGCUCAAUAUGGAUUACAACAGUAUGCAAUGUUUCAUAUUAUUUCAUUCUAUAAGGCCACUGGUGCCAUCUAAAAAUCACAUAAGUCUGUUUCUCGUACCUACUCAUUGAAACUAUUUAAUAAUUCUCAACAAAAAGCCAACAAGCAAUUCCAUGAUUGUCAAUACAAAAUAUAAUCUCAGUUUUAUAAAAAAACAAAUAAUACAAGUCUAAAGCACAGGAAACCAAAAACUGCCAAUAUGUGGAAAGGAUGAAGGAUUUUAUUGCCCCAGCUCUUAGUUUUAAGCACUUUAAUAGCUCUUGGUCCUUGUUAAAACCAACGGCUUCUAGAUCCCGGAUACACUGUUGGAAUGUUAUUCUUACUGAAGGAUUAUAGAUGCAAUGGGUGAAAAGCAUUCAUAGAGCGUUAAAUGAGCAAUUUAUUUGCUUGUGCCAUUCAUCUGGGUUUUAUAUAGUAUUAGAUUGAAUGUUCAGCGCAAGAGUGGGCCAAUUAGAUCAGCAGCUGUCAUUGGGAAAAUGCAGGAAUCCUUUACAAUUGAUGUAAUAACAGGAUUUUUAGAAAAUUAUGAGUUGAUCAAGCAAUGUCAAUGUGGUUUGAUGAACGGGAAGUCAUGUUUGACACAUUUUCUUUGGACAAUGUAACAAACAAGGUGAAGAAAGAGGAAUCAAUAGAUGUAGUGUACCUGGAUUUCCAGAAGUGAAUUGAUAAUAUAUACAACACAGACAAAAUGCUGGAGGAGCUCAGCAGGCCAGGCAGGAUCUAUGGAAAAGAGUAUAGUCAACAUUUCGGGCAAACACUUCUAUGGAAAAGAUAUCUAGCACCUGUUGAUUUUCUCUUGUUUGUGAUAAAAUAUACAAAUUACUGCACAAAGUACAUGGUGUGAAGGAUAAUAUCUUGUCAUAGAUAGAGUACUGAGUAAUUCAAAAAGAAAUAGGGAGUCAGGACAAAUGGAUAAUUGUUUGUUCAGGGAACAAUGUAGGGGCCUCAGCUCUUUGCAAUCUUAGUGGUCACAAUUAAGGAAUUUAUUUCGUUAUUUUUAUUGUAACUUGUUAUGUCUGCACUUUACUGUUGUUCAGGUGUAGGGCAAUGGGGCUAGGCAGAACGUUAUUUCAGCGCGGGCUAACGUUUCUGUGAGGACUGCUCUAUGACCACUGCUGUCAUGAAAAAAAGUUCACAACUUAAGUCAGUGACAAUAAAUCUGAUUCUGAUUCUGAAGUAUAGUGUAGCCACAUUGGUGGAUGAUGCCAAAGUAAAUUGAGAGGCAAGUGGGUUGGAGCCUUGCCCGGAUAUGGAACUUACCCAUGUACUUUGGUUAAAGUGAUGUGUGUAGGUUCCAUAGGAGAUCAAGGUGCUGGAAAUGGAGUAUACUAUUAGAAAAUGUGAGAUUAUGCAUCUUUAAAGGAAGAAUGAAAAAGCAGAUUAUGAUUUUAAUCAAUUAAGACCACAAAAUACUGCUGCACAAUAGAAUCUAAAGUUAAGACAGAAUGCAGUCACAACAUGUUAUUAGGAAGACUCAUAGAGGGCUGGCCUUUACUUCAAGGAGUAUGGACAAUAAAAGUAGUGAGAUCUGAUGGAAUUUUACAGUACUCUACUUGGAUUGCAUCUGGAGUAUUCUACGUGGUCUUAUUCUCCAUCUUUAUGUAUGCAACUACUUGCAUUAGAAACAGUGCAGAUAAGAUACAUUAGACUUUUUACUGGGAUGAUAGGUGAUCUUAUUGAAACAUGCAAGAAUCAGAGAUAGAUCAACAUGUUGUAUAUUGAGAAGAUGCUUGGAGGCUGGAUAUCUAGAAAAAGGGGUGGGGGGCAUGUUCAGAAUAAGGGUAAUCAAAAGAGAUUCUGAAGAUACUGGAAGUCCAGAGCAUCACAGACAAAAUGCCGGAGGAACUCAGCAGGUCAGGCAGCAUCUGUGGAAAGGGGUGAAGAGUCAAAAUGAAGGUUUUCUGUCUGAAAUGUGGACCCUUUAUUUCUUUCCAUAGAUGUAGCUGACCUGCUGAGUUCCUCAGUACUUUAGGUGUGUUUUUCAGAAUGCUGAUAAGCCAUUUAAAACCAUGAUGAGAAGGAGCUCCUUCUUUCAGUGCAGGGGUUCCCAACCUAGGGUCCACUGACCCCACAACUAAUGAUUGGGUUCCAUGGCAUAAAAAAAGAUCGGGAACCCCAGCCUAGAGGAUUGUAAAUCUCUGUGGAAUUUCCCAACCUAGAGAAGUGUGAAGUGGAAUUUUUGAAAAUAUAUUCAAGGUAGUCACUGAUAGACAAAGUGUAUAUGAAAGAGCAGGAAAGCGGUGCUGAGGCUAAGACUGGACCAGUCAUGAUCUUAUUGGCUUGAAGGCCAGAACCAACCUACUCUUACUCCAUUUUCUUACAUUCAUUUUCAUGAUUUGUCCCAAGCCAUUGUUUAUUUUCAAAGUGAAUAUUCUCAGAUUUGCCUUUAUCUAAUUUAAUUACAAUGAUCUACUUCCUUCUCCCUUAGUAAUUAUUUUGCUUUCACUUGAUGGUACUUGCCUUAACCUCUCCUUGGGAUGGUUUACUUGAAUUCCACAAUUUCAUUACUCUCUAAGUAGAGGGUUUUUCCAACUUCUCAUUACAAGUUACAUUCAACCACCCACCCCCUUUCUUUUAGUGUUCCCCACAACUGGAAUCAUUUUCUUGUGCCUACUCUAUCAAACUCCCUCUUAAUUUUAAAGACUCCUAUUAAAGUGCACGCUAAUCUCGUCUGGUUUUACUUCUCUUUUAAAGUAAGGAGGAAAAUAAUAUGUUUUGUUAUGUGCUGUUCUGGCUUUGUUAGGUAAUGAUUAGAAAAUCAUGGUAUUAGGAAAGGGGAUAAAAUUAUAUGUGGGAUUUUCAUGCAAGCUCCCACAAAGGAAGCUUUCAACAAGGAAAUCUCUAAUUAUUGCAACACAGCAUCUAUUGUCAGAGAGAAAAUUCAAUGUCAGGAAUAUAAACAUAUUCCACAAAUACUAUGAAAUAUCUGUUUCUUUGGUUAAACAUAUCAGCUUAGGACAUCAAAAGUAGCUGUGUUAUGCAGGAGUCCUUAUUCAUUCACAGCAAUUACAAUGUGUUUCUUCAAUCCAUGUGUGAGAUGGACUCAUAUAAUGAACACACAUUGCCUAUGGUAUUCUCAAAGGAAUAAAAGAUGAAUGAUCUGGUGCAGAUAUUCAGAUAAAGUGAAAUUAUUAAGUAUUUUAUGAAAGAGCCAUGUAAAGGCACAUCAUUGCUGUAGUACAUCAAAGUUAUAAAUUGUGCACUUUUAAACAAACUUGUGUAGUGCUUAGUGGGAAGAGAGCUUUCUUGAAAUCACUGUACUUAACAAAUCCAAAACAAUGUGCAAGCUAUUUAUUCAGUCAACCACAAUUUAUAUACCCAUUAAAUAUGCACUUUUAAAAAAGCUGGGUGAUAGUAAUUUUCCAUGAAAUGUAUCACAUUGCAGACAAGCUUUCAAAUUGAUUUUACAUGUGGACUUUUAAAUUUUUUUUUGUUUCCUAACCUUCAGCCAAGUUAAAUAUCAUCCAAGAUGCAGAAUCUGCCCAAGCUGCCCAGAAUUGUUCUUACAGAUCAGUGUGAGUGUGAUGCUUUUUUAUUUGUGCUGUCACAUACAAGUUAGUCUCUCUUUGUGAUCAAUACAUCUGCAUUAACUGUGGUUGUUUUCACAUUGCUUCUAUUUGGAAAGAUAAUAUUUGGCUAAUGUUCUCCACAAGGCUUGCAAGUAAAUUUAUGCACCUGCCUGUUUGAGCAAUUAAAACUUGUGCUGCCAAUGUCUUAAACUGUGAUCAGACUUGAAUGACACAGGAGAGCAAAGCAAACUUACAGAAUUGAAUGAACUGAAUGGGGCUGAACAAAAGUGCAGAGAGAUAUCUAAUAACCAUGAGAAUGUAACUAUGGUUGCUUCAUGAUAAUUCACUGUCAGUUUUUCUGACAUAUAUUUUGAUUCAAAAGAUGUGAGUAUUACUGGUAAGUAUGCAUUCAUUGUCCAUUUCCGACUUCCUUGUGUCGAAGAUUUCAUUGUUAAACAGCUAUGGUAUUUAUCGUGAAGUCAUCCACUUCCAGGAUUUAAAAUUACUUUCUAUGAUGGUUACAAUAAAAUACUUCCUUGUUAGGAUGGUCUCUGGUUUGAUGGAAACAUGUAGGUGUUGCUGUUCGCAGACUGCUAUCCUUGUCCUUCUAGAUUAUAUGAUUGUGGUGUACUGUAGGGGAAGUCAUGAAAGUUGCUACUGUGGACUUUGUAAGUAAUAAGAUCUGCAGCCUUGAUGGGAGAUGGCGUGAAUAUGAUCAGGGUUGGAAGGGAUGCUUCUUGUUAUUGAUGCAUCUGGAUUUAUCAAGGAAAUAUAAACGUAGCCUUCAUACAGAUAAAUUAUGCUUAGAGGAUAUAAAAAGGGUUUGAAGAGUGAAAGAGUUGAAUCAUUGCUCAUGAAUACUCAGCAUUUUACAUACUGUUUAGAAAUCCAGCAUAUCGGAAGAUGAGCCUCUCAAGUUUCUGGUCAAUGGUAAUUCCUGGGACGUUGAUUAUGGGUGAUUCAAACAUAAAAAAUCCAAUUACAAAUAAUAAGAGGUCCUUACCUUGGAGAUUGCUGUUGUUGGAGGUCAUGUGACUUAAUUGUAAAUUCAGCUGCUAGUCAAAUCCAAACACUAUUCAGAUUUUGUUGAAGGUAGGCAUGAUGCAUUUCGAUAUCAAGAGAAUCUGGAGCAAGCGCUCUUCAGAGCACAGUGAAUGCACUAAAUAUAGAGAGAAGGUUAUUGGAGAGCAGCAUGCUGCUGUCAUAAGGAAGAAGUUACAGGAGCCUUAGAACUCACACUACCAAGUUCUGGAGCAGUUAUUUCCCUCCUACCGUCAGGCUCUUGAACUAAAGGGGAUAACUUCACUCAACUUCACUUGCCCCACCACUGAAAUGUUCCCACAACCUACAGACUCACUUGCAAGGAUACUUCACCUCAUGUUCUCAAUAUUUAUUUCUUAUUAUUAUUUCUUUCUUUUUGUAUUUGCAAAGUUUGUUGUCUUUUGCACACUGCUUGAAUGCCCAUAAAUAUCAUGAAUUUCAUGCUUACAAGAAAUAUGUAGUUUGAUAAUAGAUUUACUUUGGACAUUGAAAAUGCUGACUGAAGGAUGAGAAAACACAUUGUGUUACUUAGGUUAUUUAUACUGAUUUAUUUCUCAUUGACCUACGAAACUACUAAUUUAAAUCUUAGUUAUGUAUUUGUCAAAAAAUUAUAAGCCAGAUCAUGCUGAUGACGAUCCAUUGCUUUCAGAGAGAAUAUCUAUCUUCCAUGUACACAUCAAGACACUUCAGAUUUCCAUGUGAAUGUGAGGAAAAUUCUGAUGAGCCAGCAGUAUUUUGUGUCUUACUCAGUUGAAGGACCAGAUACAAUUUAAUUUAAUGUUUGGUCCCAUUAAUUUGAAAGUGGCUCCAAAUAUUCAUUAAAAAUAUGUUCAGUGUUUUUUUUGUUUAUUUCACCGUAAUUAUACAAUUUUAGUUAAUUAACUGACAGAAGUUUUAAGUGCUUAUAUAUAAAGUACUUCAAAUAAAUGUGUUUAUCUUUUUUGAAAAUUAACAUUUCACAUUUAAUUCAUUUAAACAAAUUGGUACUAAUCCAUACCACAAGUCCUGGUUGUGCUACCACUGAUGCCAGGCGGACAGUCUCUGAAGAAUGGCUAAGGUCACCCAUCUUGUAAAAACACGGCCCAGAAGAAGGCAAUGGCAAACCACUUCUGUAGAAAAUCUUCCAAGAACAAUCAUAGUAAUGGAGGAUCAUGAUUACCCGUGUUAUACGUCACAGCACAUAAUGAUGAUGAUGAAGCAAGUUCAUCUAUUUGUAGUCGAUUUUCACUUAAAAACAAUGAAAUUGACAUUUAGCUGCAUGUGCUGUGUGGAGGUGCUUCAAGAGGUAAUGCUUCGGUACCUGAUCACCAACUACAGGCCUCUCCAGUCCACAGGGGUCUACAGGUUUAGCUCAUGUUGUAAGUAUUGGCAAUAUGUUAAAUGAAGCAUGAGUGGCUCCGCAGAGGGAAAUACCAGCAAAAGGGAAAAUUGCUCAAACACUAGAUACUUCGAAUAAAGCACUGAUAAAUUAUGACACUGAACUACAGAAGCCAAACAAUAACAUUUAAGUGGAAGACAACCCAAAUUAAAGUGGUUCAGGUUCAGAUUAGACAGCAUCCUGAUACCUUGCUCAGUCCAGGUUAGUGAAAUGCUUUUGAAACUAUUCGGAGCAAUAGAAAGUUCAGUACUUCUGGAGAAAAUUUCAUAAUCAUGAUGUCAUGAAAUGCUUUAUAGCCCAUGAAGUAUUGUUGCUAUGUAAGUAAGUAACCUGGGAGCUAGCUUGAUCAUUUUAACUAGCAGUGCCAGAAUUUCUUUUUCUUUGUUGUCUCAAUGAAUAAAUAAUUGCCAGUAUGUAAAAGAAGUUGCCUUACUUUUGUUUGUUGGUACUUUUCCUUGAUCUGGCAAGGCCCAUCUUAAGUUAUCCUUAAAACAGCCUCCUGGUUCAUUUCACAGGGCUCAGCCAAACAGACAUAGACCAGACCAGGAAAAGGCAAUAAGUUUCUUGCUGAGGAACUCCGGUGAACAAGAUGUGUUUAGUUUUAAUGCUGUCAUCAGUACUUCUCACGGGUUUUAAUCCCUCAACCAUCAAACUUUUGAAACAGAGGGGAUAACUCCACUCAACUUCUCUCACCCCAUCACUGAACAGUUCCCACAGAUGGGCUCUUUUUUAAAGAAUCUUCAUCUCAUGUUGUCAAUAUUUAUUGCUGACUUAUUUAUUAUUAUUUCUCUUUCAUACAUGGACAGUUUGUUGCCCUUUGCACAUUGUUGUUUGUCGUUUUGGGUGUGGUCUUCCAUUGCUUCCUUUGUGUCUCUUGCAAGAAAAUGAAUCUCAGGGUUGUAUAUAUGUAAUCUGAUAAUAGAUUUACUUUGAACAGUAAAUUAUUAACUGGACUUAUAUUCACAGCUGCAUGGUACAAUUUGCUUGCAGGCCUCUGGAUUGAUAGUCCAGGCUUCUGGAUCAGUAGUCCAGAAAUUUAGUGAUCACAUCACCAGCAUAGGAUUGAUGUCCUCUACCUGAAGAACUGUGGGCUCUAUCAAAGGUGGUGUUGAAUCAGCAUACAGGAGUGAGAUUGAAAAUUUGGCUGAGUGGUGUAACAACAAUAACCUCUCACUCAAUGUCAAUAAGACUAUGGAACUGAUAAUAGACUUCAUAAGAGGGAAAACAGAGGUCUAUGAGUCAGUAAUCAUCAGCGGAUCAGAAUUGGAGAGGGUCAGUAAUUUUAAAUUCCUGGGUAUUACUAUCUCAGAGGGCCUGUCAUAUUAAUAUAAUUGUGAUGAAAGCACAACAGUACCUCUAAUUCUGCAGGAGCCAGUAGAGAUUCAACAUGUCAUCAAAAACCUUGGCAAACUUCUAUAGAGGUGUGGUGUAAAAUGCGCUUACAGCCUGGUAUGGGAACACCAAUGCUUUUGAGUGGAAAAUCCUACAAAAAGUAGAGGAUUUGACCCAGUAAUUCACAGGUAAAACCCUCUCAACCAUUGAGCAUGUCUACAUGAAACACUGUUGUAGGAAAGCAGCAUCCAUCAUCAAAGAUACUCACCACCCAGGCAACGCUCUUUUCUCACCGCUACCAACAGGUAGAAGGUACAAGAGCCUCAGAACUUGCAGCACCAGGUUCAGCAAGAGUUGCUAGCUCUCAAUGACCAAACUCUUGAACAAAAGGGGAGAACUACAGCCAUUUAAGGAUUCUUUUAUCUUGUUAUUUCAUGCUUGUUAUUUAUUGCUAUUUAUUUAUUAUCUGCAUUAUCACAGCUUGUUUACAGUUCACAGUUCCUGUUCUAUAGAUUUACUCAGUAUGCCCACAGAAAUAGAAUCUCGGGGCUGUAUGUGUUGGCACAUAUGUACUCUGAUAAUAAAUUUUGCUUUUAACUUUGAAGCCCCAGCUUAAGACUACAACCAAACUUUCUAAGAAAAAAGUGCUUCCAUGUAGCCUUAUCUAAAGCCAACAAAUGUAUAUAAUUCUGCUAUUGCACACUUCAGAGGCUGAUUAUCAAUAAUUUUAGUAAUAAAUUGGCUUUUUAAAAAAUUAUCAAUGAAACAUUGUUUCAAAUAAUUCACAGACUUCCAAGUUAUUCUCAAAGUUGAAAGUAAAGUUACUAUCAAAGUAUGUAUAUGGCACAUUAUACUACCCUGAGACUCAUUUUCUUGCAGGCAUUCACAAUAGAUACAAAGGUACAGAAUAGAAUCAAUGAAAGACUACACACAAAUAAAGAUGAACAAAUAGCCAACGCACAAAAGAAGAUGAACUGUUCAAAUUCAAAUAAUAAUAAUAAAUGAAAUUAUGUACAAAGAGUCAAGAUCCUUUAUUUUCUAAAUACUGUUGUAUCUUUAAUGUUUGAGUAGGCUGUCCAUUCCUGGGUUUUCUAACAGAUGAUUGCCAUUCUAAUGGUGCAGCACCCACUCAGUUCUACAGCACAGAGUUAGUCUUAAUUAUCUAAUAAAAGUUUGGGUGGAUCCUGGAUAUGCAAACAUCUGUCUUAAUGGUACAGAGUACAAUUAUGCAAGUUUUCCUGCCAUUUGUUCUCGAGCUAUUAACAUUUGUAACAUAUACGUAUUUCCUCAACGCUUUGAUAACAACAAUAAAAAGAAAUUACCAAUUAUUAUUUCACAGAAGUAUAUACAACACAUGAUAGGAACAUGUGACUAAGUGCACCAUUUGGGCCAU